This 449-nucleotide ribosomal RNA is filed under the name uncultured bacterium. Its description in RNAcentral is "bacterial SSU rRNA". It matches the Rfam family "Bacterial small subunit ribosomal RNA", at positions 328 to 792 of the family's 1533-position model. The record is from RNAcentral.
UUGCCAGACUCCUACGGGAGGCAGCAGUGGGGAAUAUUGGGCAAUGGGCGCAAGCCUGACCCAGCAAUGCCGCGUGAAGGAAGAAGGCUUUCGGGUUGUAAACUUCUUUGACAGGGGAAGAGCAGAAGACGGUACCCUGAAAACAAGCCACGGCUAACUACGUGCCAGCAGCCGCGGUAAUACGUAGGUGGCAAGCGUUAUCCGGAUUUACUGGGUGUAAAGGGCGAGUAGGCGGGAUUGCAAGUCAGAUGUGAAAACUAUGGGCUCAACCGAUAGAGUGCAUUUGAAACUGCAGUUCUUGAGUGAUGGAGAGGCAGGCGGAAUUCCCGGUGUAGCGGUGGAAUGCGUAGAUAUCGGGAGGAACACCAGUGGCGAAGGCGGCCUGCUGGACAUUAACUGACGCUGAGGCGCGAAAGCGUGGGGAGCAAACAGGAUUAGAUACCCGUGUA